GACGAGCCACACGAACGUUAUUCGGAAUUACUGGGCUUAAAGGGUGCGUAGGCGGCGCGGUAAGUUGGGUGUGAAAUCCCUCGGCUCAACCGAGGAACUGCGCCCAAAACUACCGUGCUCGAGGAAGAUAGAGGUGAGCGGAACUUACGGUGGAGCGGUGAAAUGCGUUGAUAUCGUAAGGAACACCCGUGGCGAAAGCGGCUCACUGGGUCUUCUCUGACGCUGAUGCACGAAAGCUAGGGGAGCAAACGGG
This 253-nucleotide ribosomal RNA is filed under the name uncultured bacterium. RNAcentral's name for it is "partial 16S ribosomal RNA". It matches the Rfam family "Bacterial small subunit ribosomal RNA", at positions 524 to 776 of the family's 1533-position model. The record is from RNAcentral.